RNAcentral lists this long non-coding RNA (593 nucleotides) under Macaca mulatta (Rhesus monkey). RNAcentral's name for it is "lncRNA (ENSMMUG00000049769.1)". Lineage: Eukaryota; Metazoa; Chordata; Mammalia; Primates; Cercopithecidae. The record is from RNAcentral.
UGAAAUACAGAAAUAAUUCCUUAAACUUUCAACAUUUAUUCAGCAAAACAUUCAUUGAGAACCUACUCUUGCUCAUGUCCUGUGCUAGCUGCUUUAUGAAGCAACAUUCGUAUGACUAACUAUCUCCCUAAAAUCAGCUUCAACUAUGUCUGGAAGGACAGAGGCAUAAAUAGCCAAGGAAGACUGGGCUGAGAGACACAGAGAAGGAGUUGGGUUGGGGUAAUGGCGAUUGAGGAAGGCUGACUGUUUCAUUCGUGCCAUGAGGGAUGAGGAGCAGCCGCUGAACAGAGAAAGCCUGGAAGGACAUCUAGUCAACAUGGCUAUGAGAAUGGUGGAGAGAAAGAAAGAAGGAAGUGCGCGCAGGGCCAGAGAAAAGAGACCGUGUGGACCAAAGAAGAAUGGAGAUGGAGACAGUAGCUGCCUAACCAUUUUCCUAUUCUCAUGAGAUCCAGCUAUACUUGCUAUACUUUGUCUCAGUCAGAUUCUCCAACUCCAAAUGACAUGUUGGUGUUUAUAUUGGAAUAUAUCCAUCUUCUUCCUGGGGCGGCUUGAGUAGUCCUGACAAGUUUGUUUAAUUUUGGUAAUUUCUUGAG